GAUGAACGCUGGCGGCGUGCCUAAUACAUGCAAGUCGAGCGAACAGACGAGGAGCUUGCUCCUCUGACGUUAGCGGCGGACGGGUGAGUAACACGUGGAUAACCUACCUAUAAGACUGGGAUAACUUCGGGAAACCGGAGCUAAUACCGGAUAAUAUAUUGAACCGCAUGGUUCAAUAGUGAAAGACGGUUUUGCUGUCACUUAUAGAUGGAUCCGCGCCGCAUUAGCUAGUUGGUAAGGUAACGGCUUACCAAGGCAACGAUGCGUAGCCGACCUGAGAGGGUGAUCGGCCACACUGGAACUGAGACACGGGCCAGACUCCUACGGGAGGGAGCAGUAGGGAAUCUUUCGCAAUGGGGGAAAGCCUGAGGGAGCAAAGCCGCGUGAGUGAUGAAGGUCUUCGGAUCGUAAAAAUCUGUUAUUAGGGAAGAAAAAAUGUGUAAGUAAAUAUGCACGUCUUGACGGUACCUAAUCAGAAAGCCACGGCUAACUACGUG
This 497-nucleotide ribosomal RNA is filed under the name uncultured bacterium. RNAcentral's name for it is "partial 16S ribosomal RNA". It matches the Rfam family "Bacterial small subunit ribosomal RNA", at positions 28 to 507 of the family's 1533-position model. The record is from RNAcentral.